This 289-nucleotide unclassified non-coding RNA is filed under the name uncultured fungus. RNAcentral's name for it is "partial contains 5.8S ribosomal RNA, internal transcribed spacer 2, and large subunit ribosomal RNA". The record is from RNAcentral. Lineage: Eukaryota; Fungi.
AACGCAUCUUGCGCUCCUCGGCAUUCCGAGGAGCAUGCCCGUUUGAGUGUCGUGAAGUCUCUCGAAAGACAACGAGUUUUUCGGAUUUGGACGUCUUUUUGCCUCUCGUAGUCGAGGCUCGUCUCGAAAUGUAUUGCCGGGGUUGCCCCCGCCCGUACGGGUAGGACGUGAUAAGUUUUGCGUCCGCGUCGGGAGGAAAAAAGGGGCUCCUCGUUUGUAAAUCCCCCUGGGGGGAUAGCCAUCUCUGCACCUUGACCUCAAAUCGGGCAGGACUACCCGCCGAACUUAA